RNAcentral lists this ribosomal RNA (889 nucleotides) under uncultured bacterium. RNAcentral describes it as "bacterial SSU rRNA". It matches the Rfam family "Bacterial small subunit ribosomal RNA", at positions 8 to 853 of the family's 1533-position model. The record is from RNAcentral.
AGAGUUUGAUCCUGGCUCAGGAUGAACGCUGGCGGCGUGCCUAAUACAUGCAAGUCGAACGCUUUGUGCUGAAUUGAUAUGACGAGCUUGCUCUGAUUUGAUUUUUUGAUUUCAAAGAGUGGCGAACGGGUGAGUAGCACGUGGGUAACCUACCUCUUAGCAGGGGAUAACAUUUGGAAACAAGUGCUAAUACCGUAUAAUACCAACAACCGCAUGGUUGUUGGUUGAAAGAUGGUUCUGCUAUCACUAAGAGAUGGACCCGCGGUGCAUUAGCUAGUUGGUAAGGUAAUGGCUUACCAAGGCAAUGAUGCAUAGCCGAGUUGAGAGACUGAUCGGCCACAAUGGGACUGAGACACGGCCCAUACUCCUACGGGAGGCAGCAGUAGGGAAUCUUCCACAAUGGGCGCAAGCCUGAUGGAGCAACGCCGCGUGUGUGAUGAAGGGUUUCGGCUCGUAAACACUGUUAUAAGAGAAGAACGGCACUGAGAGUAACUGUUCAGUGUGUGACGGUAUCUUACCAGAAAGGAACGGCUAAAUACGUGCCAGCAGCCGCGGUAAUACGUAUGUUCCAAGCGUUAUCCGGAUUUAUUGGGCGUAAAGCGAGCGCAGACGGUUAUUUAAGUCUGAAGUGAAAGCCCUCAGCUCAACUGAGGAAUUGCUUUGGAAACUGGAUGACUUGAGUGCAGUAGAGGAAAGUGGAACUCCAUGUGUAGCGGUGAAAUGCGUAGAUAUAUGGAAGAACACCAGUGGCGAAGGCGGCUUUCUGGACUGUAACUGACGUUGAGGCUCGAAAGUGUGGGUAGCAAACAGGAUUAGAUACCCUGGUAGUCCACACCGUAAACGAUGAGUGCUAGAUGUUCGAGGGUUUCCGCCCUUGAGUGUCGCAGCU